This 344-nucleotide ribosomal RNA is filed under the name Eubacterium callanderi. RNAcentral's name for it is "bacterial SSU rRNA". It matches the Rfam family "Bacterial small subunit ribosomal RNA", at positions 69 to 412 of the family's 1533-position model. Lineage: Bacteria; Bacillati; Bacillota; Clostridia; Eubacteriales; Eubacteriaceae. The record is from RNAcentral.
UCCUUCGGGUGAAAUUAGAACUGGAAAGUGGCGAACGGGUGAGUAACGCGUGGGUAACCUGCCCUAUGGAAAGGAAUAGCCUCGGGAAACUGGGAGUAAAGCCUUAUAUUAUGGUUUUGUCGCAUGGCAAGAUCAUGAAAACUCCGGUGCCAUAGGAUGGACCCGCGUCCCAUUAGCUAGUUGGUGAGAUAACAGCCCACCAAGGCGACGAUGGGUAACCGGUCUGAGAGGGCGAACGGUCACACUGGAACUGAGACACGGUCCAGACUCCUACGGGAGGCAGCAGUGGGGAAUAUUGCGCAAUGGGGGCAACCCUGACGCAGCAAUACCGCGUGAGUGAAGAA